RNAcentral lists this small nuclear RNA (312 nucleotides) under Castor canadensis (American beaver). Its description in RNAcentral is "7SK RNA (ENSCCNG00000009772.1)". It matches the Rfam family "7SK RNA". From Rfam's summary of the family: 7SK was discovered as an abundant small nuclear RNA in the mid-70s but a possible function has only recently been suggested. Two independent studies have found that 7SK RNA binds the CDK9/cyclin T complex (known as elongation factor P-TEFb). Lineage: Eukaryota; Metazoa; Chordata; Mammalia; Rodentia; Castoridae. The record is from Rfam by way of RNAcentral.
GGAUGUGAGGGCGAUCUGGCUGCAACAUCUGUCACCCCAUUGAUCGCCAGGGUUGAUUCGGCUGAUCUGGCUGGCUAGGCGGGUGUCCCCUUCCUCCCUCACCGCUCCAUGUGCGUCCCUCCCGAAGCUGCGUGCUUGGUCGAAGAGGACGACCAUCCCCGAUAGAGGAGGACUGUUCUUCGGUCAAGGGUAUACGAGUAGCUGCGCUCCCCUGCUAGAACCUCCAAACAAGCUCUCAAGAAGACAUGACCACAGAAGAGGAAGCCAUAGCCAGAUCUGGAGAUUCUGAGCACAAAGCAGGGACCAGCAUCU